GACGAACGCUGGCGGCGUGCCUAAUACAUGCAAGUAGAACGCUGAAGCUUGGUACUUGCACCGAGCGGAUGAGUUGCGAACGGGUGAGUAACGCGUAGGUAACCUGCCUGGUAGCGGGGGAUAACUAUUGGAAACGAUAGCUAAUACCGCAUAAGAGUAGAUGUUGCAUGACAUUUGCUUAAAAGGUGCAAUUGCAUCACUACCAGAUGGACCUGCGUUGUAUUAGCUAGUUGGUGAGGUAACGGCUCACCAAGGCAACGAUACAUAGCCGACCUGAGAGGGUGAUCGGCCACACUGGGACUGAGACACGGCCCAGACUCCUACGGGAGGCAGCAGUAGGGAAUCUUCGGCAAUGGACGGAAGUCUGACCGAGCAACGCCGCGUGAGUGAAGAAGGUUUUCGGAUCGUAAAGCUCUGUUGUAAGAGAAGAACGAGUGUGAGAGUGGAAAGUUCACACUGUGACGGUAUCUUACCAGAAAGGGACGGCUAACUACGUG
Molecule: ribosomal RNA, 497 nt
Filed under: uncultured bacterium
Lineage: Bacteria
Description: partial 16S ribosomal RNA
Rfam family: Bacterial small subunit ribosomal RNA
Source: RNAcentral